CAGGCAGCCCCGGUAAUACGGAGGGUGCAAGCGUUAUCCGGAUUUAUUAGGUUUAAAGGGUUCGCAGGCGGAAUUUUAAGUCAGUGGUGAAAGCCUAUAGCUCAACUAUAGAACUGCCACUGAUACUGAUAUUCUUGAGUGUAGAUGAAGUGGGCGGAAUAUGUCAUGUAGCGGUGAAAUGCAUAGAUAUGACAUGGAACACCAAUUGCGAAGGCAGCUCACUAAACUAUUACUGACGCUCAUGAACGAAAGCAUGGGGAGCGAACAGGAUUAGAUACCCUGGUAGUCCAUGCUGUAAACUAUGAUCACUAGAUGUUGGCGAUAUAUUGUCAGUGUUUAAGAGAAAUCGUUAAGUGAUCCACCUGGGGAGUACGUUCGCAAGAAUGAAACUCACAGGAAUUUGACGG
Molecule: ribosomal RNA, 407 nt
Filed under: uncultured bacterium
Lineage: Bacteria
Description: bacterial SSU rRNA
Rfam family: Bacterial small subunit ribosomal RNA
Source: RNAcentral